This 253-nucleotide ribosomal RNA is filed under the name uncultured bacterium. Its description in RNAcentral is "partial 16S ribosomal RNA". It matches the Rfam family "Bacterial small subunit ribosomal RNA", at positions 524 to 776 of the family's 1533-position model. The record is from RNAcentral.
UACGUAGGGUGCGAGCGUUGUCCGGAAUUAUUGGGCGUAAAGGGCUCGUAGGCGGUUUGUCGCGUCGGGAGUGAAAACCUACAGCUUAACUGUGGGCUUGCUUUCGAUACGGGCAGACUAGAGGUAUGCAGGGGAGAACGGAAUUCCUGGUGUAGCGGUGAAAUGCGCAGAUAUCAGGAGGAACACCGGUGGCGAAGGCGGGUCUCUGGGCCGAUACUGACGCUGAGGAGCGAAAGCCAGGGGAGCGAACGGG